This 687-nucleotide ribosomal RNA is filed under the name uncultured bacterium. Its description in RNAcentral is "bacterial SSU rRNA". It matches the Rfam family "Bacterial small subunit ribosomal RNA", at positions 8 to 692 of the family's 1533-position model. The record is from RNAcentral.
AGAGUUUGAUCCUGGCUCAGGAUGAACGCUAGCGGCAGGCCUAAUACAUGCAAGUCGAGCGGCAGCGGCCCACUUCGGUGGGGCCGGCGAGCGGCGCACGGGUGCGUAACGCGUAUACAACUUGCCCCGGGGAGGGGAAUAGCCCGGUGAAAACCGGAUUAAUGCCCCGUGGUCCACGGAGCCGGCAUCGGCACCGUGGUAAAGCUUCGGCGCCCCGGGAUGGGUAUGCGUCCAAUUAGCCAGUUGGUGGGGUAACGGCCCACCAAGGCGACGAUUGGUAGGGGGCCUGAGAGGGUGGUCCCCCACACUGGUACUGAGACACGGACCAGACUCCUACGGGAGGCAGCAGUAGGGAAUAUUGGUCAAUGGGCGAGAGCCUGAACCAGCCAUGCCGCGUGCAGGAAGAAGGCCCUUGGGUCGUAAACUGCUUUUCUGCAGGAAGAAAAGGGCGGUGCGCCGCCUAUUGACGGUACUGCAGGAAUAAGCACCGGCUAACUACGUGCCAGCAGCCGCGGUAAUACGUAGGGUGCAAGCGUUGUCCGGAUUUACUGGGUUUAAAGGGUGCGCAGGCGGGCCGGUAAGUCAGUGGUGAAAGCCCGGGGCUCAACCCCGGAACUGCCAUUGAUACUGCCGGUCUUGAGUACGCGUGAGGCGGGCGGAAUUCGUGGUGUAGCGGUGAAAUGCAUA